UCAUGAAUCUCACUAAGGCUCAGUUUCCUCCAUAGAAUUAAGCAAUAUCAGGGCCUCUGCACUGGACAACUCCAGAGGGCACCAUUGGGGUUAUGUUUUAUGUUUGCCUAACCUUCAUUGCAGUGGGUAGGUGCUUGCUUUCUACAAUGUCUGGAGGUCUAAAGGGGUAGAGUUCUGUGUGUGGCAUUUUAGGCCUGGAAAGGAUGAGAGUCUACAAAACCAGAGAAAUACUGCAGCCAUUGGUAAGAAGCACACAUGACAACCUGGACUUUCCACCAACAUUUGAAGUUGGAGCAGUCUUGUGGGAUUGAGCCCUUAACCUGUGGGGUCUGCUGCUAACUCUGAACCCUAUGAACACAUGGACCCAACACUCCUUUGGCCAAGUUGAUGAUUCUCCACCAUUUAUUUGCCUGCCUCACUCUACACUUCUAGCAAGCCACUGCAAGGCUGCAUUGCAGCUAAGAGGAAGCCCUCCUUGAAGGCUGCACAGCAAGGAGUGUUGGCAGAGUAGCUGGGUUUCCACUGGAAGAGCACGAGUCAGCACCAUACUGGGCUCAAGCAUGGAUAUGCACUGCUGCUGCCAGAGCAUCAUAAUUGGCAAGCAUUUAUCGAGUACCCUUCAUCUAAUUUUCAUCCUGUGGAAACUAGAAAUUGCUACACUUGCACACAAUAAACUUCUGGCAGUUAGCCUUCUGAA
Molecule: long non-coding RNA, 697 nt
Organism: Symphalangus syndactylus (siamang)
Lineage: Eukaryota; Metazoa; Chordata; Mammalia; Primates; Hylobatidae
Source: RefSeq, a predicted model, not a curated record